UAAUCUUCCUUUGCCCUAAAGAUUAAGACAUGCAAAUAUAAAGGCCGCCCCUCGCACGGGUGUCCUGGUGGAUUGCUCCAUAAAAAAUUACUAGGCUACUCGAUUGUGAGAAUCUAAACGGAAUAUCUUUUGUAACCAACAGCUAAUACGGCAGAAACUGUCUGUGUUUUCGGAUGCAGACUGCUCAUGUUAGUUUAAACCAACCCGGCAACGGAUUUGGCGAGUCACAACAUCUAGCGUCGGACAUGCUUAAUGCGGUCCGGAAUCGAUUGCGGUUUUUCCCUAUCAGGUUUCGAUGGUAGUGUAUUGAACUAUCAUGCCGUUGACGGGUGACGGGGGUUUUGGGACUGACUCCGGAGAAAAAGCCUGAGAGACGGCUUUUAGACCUAUGGGUUGCAGCAGUUACGGAAAUUAUCCCAUGCGCCUCGCGCGAGAUAGUGACAGGGAAUAUCAAAGCGGGACUCUUUGAGUCUUGCUGUUGGAAUGAGAACAAAUUAAAACCUUUAACGAGGAUCAAUU
This 519-nucleotide ribosomal RNA is filed under the name uncultured eukaryote. Its description in RNAcentral is "bacterial SSU rRNA". It matches the Rfam family "Eukaryotic small subunit ribosomal RNA", at positions 32 to 549 of the family's 1831-position model. The record is from RNAcentral.